This is a long non-coding RNA of Lemur catta (Ring-tailed lemur), 683 nucleotides long. RefSeq lists it as uncharacterized. NCBI's taxonomy places the organism in Eukaryota, Metazoa, Chordata, Mammalia, Primates, Lemuridae. The transcript is spliced from 4 exons. The record is from RefSeq and is a predicted model, not a curated record.
UCAACUCCGUCUCUCUGGUCAGCUCUGGAGCACCCACCACAUCUUGGGCUGGACAGCAAAUCACAUGCCAAGGGAGGCUGGGCUCCACUUUGCAGGGGCAGGAUGUGUGCGAUGGAUGCGUGCCCAAGAUGUGUGCUCACAGGCCUCUCCUGCCCCACGAGCUGUUCUUGGCCCAUUGCUGGGGAAAACACAGUGUCCUGCCUCUGGAUGAAGGCAAGAAGCUAAAAUAUCAAACAGAUCUGGUUCAUUCUCAAACAUCUGGUUACCUUGAAUAAAGCACACUAAGCAUGUAGAUGUCACUCAGCAAAGCCCGAGGAUGACAAUCCCCACCAUUGCUGUACAGAUAGUUGCUCAUAGUAACUUGGAGUUGCUGCCACAAGCUGCUGGUUUUCCACCAUAAGAAAACUUGGGUGCUUCCCUAAGUGUCAUAAUGAAUCUGAGAGAUGGAUUUUCCUUUGUGAAAAUAAAUUCUUAUUGAUCAACUAAUUAAUAAAGGCCCUUCUCAGUGCUAUUGUGAGGACCAAAUGUAGCGCCACAUGCACAUGUGCUGUGAUGGGCUUUACAGAGACCCAGAACUUUCAGGAUUCAGCCACCUGCUCAGGGAAUACUGGCGGCCACUGGCCUGGGUUCUCCAAGACUUAGAAGCUACCCACCCACAAUAUGUGGCCCACCCAAGGCCCAGG